Non-coding RNA from Myotis brandtii (Brandt's bat), 72 nucleotides. The record is from Rfam. Lineage: Eukaryota; Metazoa; Chordata; Mammalia; Chiroptera; Vespertilionidae.
GCCAAGUAGCUCAGCUGGUUAGAGCAUUGUCCUGAAAUGACAAGGUUGCAGGUUCCAUCCCUGGUCAGGGCA